RNAcentral lists this transfer RNA (71 nucleotides) under Loxodonta africana (African savanna elephant). It matches the Rfam family "tRNA". Rfam says of the family: Transfer RNA (tRNA) molecules are approximately 80 nucleotides in length. Their secondary structure includes four short double-helical elements and three loops (D, anti-codon, and T loops). The record is from Rfam by way of RNAcentral. Lineage: Eukaryota; Metazoa; Chordata; Mammalia; Proboscidea; Elephantidae.
GCAGUGGUAGUUCAGGGGUAGAAUUCUGACCUUCUAAGCGGGAGCCCCAAGUUUGAUUCCUAGCCAAUGCA